UUAGAGGAAGUAAAAGUCGUAACAAGGUUUCCGUAGGUGAACCUGCGGAAGGAUCAUUAUCGAGAUCGAACCUCUGGGAGGGGGAGGGCUUCCCGAACCCUUUCGAGGCUUCAGCCCUCUAACACCUGUGUGCACCCACUGUAGGUCCUUAGGGACCUAUGUCUUCUUCGAACUCGCAUGUCUACAGAAUGUCGUCCGUGACCUCGGUCACAGGAAACCUAAUACAACUUUCAGCAAUGGAUCUCUUGGCUCUCGCAUCGAUGAAGGACGCAGCGAAUCGCGAUAAGUAAUGUGAAUUGCAGAUUUUCCGUGAAUCAUCGAAUCUUUGAACGCACCUUGCGCUCCUUGGUAUUCCGAGGAGCAUGCCUGUUUGAGUGUCAUCGAAACAUCAGAUCGAAGCUUUCCACCUUCUCGGAACUUCGGUUGGAAUUUAGGGAAUUUGGCGGGCAACCCUCCCGUCGGGGGGACGUCGGCUCUCCUCAAAAGCAUUAGCGUUGGGUGCGAGCCUCGCGUGGCACGGCCUCUUCGACGUCAUAAUGACCGUCGUGGGCUGGAAGUGCGUGGAUCGUAGAUGCCCGUCGCUCUCCAACUCUGCGAGCCCGGUCCGUCCGGCCGCGUGUUAUCGAAGCUUGACCUCAAAUCAGGUAGGACUACCCGCUGAACUUAAGCAUAUCAAAAGCCCGGAGGAAA
This 690-nucleotide ribosomal RNA is filed under the name uncultured Scleroderma. RNAcentral describes it as "eukaryotic LSU rRNA". The stretch from base 226 to 380 matches the Rfam family "5.8S ribosomal RNA". The record is from RNAcentral. Lineage: Eukaryota; Fungi; Basidiomycota; Agaricomycetes; Boletales; Sclerodermataceae.